Molecule: long non-coding RNA, 207 nt
Filed under: Brachypodium distachyon (stiff brome)
Lineage: Eukaryota; Viridiplantae; Streptophyta; Magnoliopsida; Poales; Poaceae
Description: long non-coding RNA (BDIS_LNC000993)
Source: RNAcentral
UUCACAUAUAUGAAAUAAUAUACUACACAGUAUUUAUAAAACAAGUGUAAUCUUUCAUUUAGAUUUUCUAUUGCUGUGAGUAUAAAUAACACGCACAGGAAUAUAUAUUUUCUGUCGACGACACGCACAGGAAUAUGUGUUUUCUUGUCGGCUUCCUUCCCAAACCCACAGGAAUAUAUCUCGUGGCAAAAUCCCACGCGCGGCCUC